RNAcentral lists this ribosomal RNA (254 nucleotides) under uncultured Eubacteriales bacterium. RNAcentral describes it as "uncultured Clostridiales bacterium partial 16S ribosomal RNA". It matches the Rfam family "Bacterial small subunit ribosomal RNA", at positions 524 to 776 of the family's 1533-position model. The record is from RNAcentral. Lineage: Bacteria; Bacillati; Bacillota; Clostridia; Eubacteriales.
UACGUAGGGAGCAAGCGUUGUUCGGAAUGACUGGGCGUAAAGGGUGUGUAGGCGGUUUAUUAAGUUAGAAGUGAAAUACCUAGGGCUUAACCCAGGUGCUGCUUCUAAAACUGAUAGACUUGAGUGCAGUAGAGGAAAGUGGAAUUCCUAGUGUAGCGGUGGAAUGCGUAGAUAUUAGGAGGAACACCAGAGGCGAAGGCGACUCACUGGACUGUAACUGACGCUGAGGCUCGAAAGCGUGGGGAGCAAACAGG